RNAcentral lists this ribosomal RNA (515 nucleotides) under uncultured bacterium. Its description in RNAcentral is "partial 16S ribosomal RNA". It matches the Rfam family "Bacterial small subunit ribosomal RNA", at positions 28 to 523 of the family's 1533-position model. The record is from RNAcentral.
GAUGAACGCUGGCGGCGUGCCUAAUACAUGCAAGUCGAGCGAAUGGAUUAAGAGCUUGCUCUUAUGAAGUUAGCGGCGGACGGGUGAGUAACACGUGGGUAACCUGCCCAUAAGACUGGGAUAACUCCGGGAAACCGGGGCUAAUACCGGAUAACAUUUUGAACCGCAUGGUUCGAAAUUGAAAGGCGGCUUCGGCUGUCACUUAUGGAAGGACCCGCGUCGCAUUAGCUAGUGGGUGAGGUAACGGCUCACCAAGGCAACGAUGCGUAGCCGACCUGAGAGGGUGAUCGGCCACACUGGGACUGAGACACGGCCCAGACUCCUACGGGAGGCAGCAGUAGGGAAUCUUCCGCAAUGGACGAAAGUCUGACGGAGCAACGCCGCGUGAGUGAUGAAGGCUUUCGGGUCGUAAAACUCUGUUGUUAGGGAAGAACAAGUGCUAGUUGAAUAAGCUGGCACCUUGACGGUACCUAACCAGAAAGCCACGGCUAACUACGUGCCAGCAGCCGCAGUAA